This is an RNA transcript of Brassica napus (rape), 1404 nucleotides long. It is a transcript of the gene named bifunctional L-3-cyanoalanine synthase/cysteine synthase D1, with no coding region annotated. The record is from RefSeq and is a predicted model, not a curated record. Lineage: Eukaryota; Viridiplantae; Streptophyta; Magnoliopsida; Brassicales; Brassicaceae. The transcript has 11 exons.
CUAAAAGUAUAUAUGAUGGGGUAUAAUACGCAAUCGUUGCUCUACAUUAUAGACGGUAGUACUAUCGCUCUCACUCUAUCUUCCACCAUUAACACCUCUCUCUCUAUAUCUAUCUCUUUUGUGGACCAGUCUUUACUCUCUCCAGCUUGGAAUUACAAAGAUCUUGAUAGCAUGGAGUACUCAAUCAAGGAUGACGUGACUCAAUUGAUAGGUAACACUCCAAUGGUGUACCUAAACAACAUUGUAGAUGGUUGCGUUGCACGUAUCGCUGCUAAGCUUGAGAUGAUGCAGCCUUGCUCUAGUGUCAAGGACAGAAUUGCUUAUGGAAUGAUUAAAGAUGCAGAAGACAAGGGACUCAUUUCUCCCGGCAAGAACAUAUUGAUUGAGCCAACAUCUGGUAACACCGGGAUUGGUAUAGCAAUGGUCGGAGCAGCUAGAGGUUACAAAGUUGUGAUUACAAUGCCUGCAUCAGUGAGCAUUGAGAGAAGAAUCGUACUUCUAGCAUUAGGUGCAGAGCUUCACCUCACUGAUCCAAGCAAAGGCGUUAUAGGAGUCAUUGUCAAAGCUGAAGAGAUAUUAAGCAAAACUCCAGAUGGUUUCAUGCUAGAGCAAUUCAGAAACCCUUCAAACCCACAAUCUCAUUAUGACACCACUGGUCCAGAGAUAUGGAGAGACUCUGCAGAGAAAGUAGAUAUGUUGGUUGUUGGUGUUGGGACUGGUGGAACGAUCUCUGGAGCAGGGAAGUUUCUCAAGGAGAAGAAUAAAGACUUUAAGGUUUAUGGGGUGGAACCUGCAGAGAGUGCUGUACUCAGUGGAGGGCAACCUGGUGAGUUAGUCUCUUUUUAGCACUCAAGCUUACAACUCUUGUUCUUGAGCAUUCAACUCUAAUAUUUAAAUAAACAAUCUUAUUAAUAUUAGAAGGCAACCUGGUCCACAUGGGAUCCAAGGUAUUGGAGCUGGACUCAUCCCAGACAACUUGGAUUUUAGCGUUCUUGAUGAAGUCAUUCAAGUGACAAGUGUGGAAGCAAUUGAAACAGCCAAACUUCUUGCCCUGAAAGAAGGAUUAUUGGUUGGAAUAUCAUCCGGAGCUGCUGCGGCCGCUGCUAUAAAAGUGGCAAAACGGCCAGAAAACGCUGGGAAGCUCAUAGUUGUGGUUUUCCCGAGUGGCGGGGAACGUUACUUAUCGACUCCAAUGUUCGACUCGAUCAGAUGUGAAGCAGAGAAUUUGGCAAUAGAAUGAGAGAGACUUAUCAUCCACUACUACUACUACUACUUAAUUCGGUUCGGUUAUGUAAUAAAGUAUCAAGAUACCGGUUUUCUCAUUUUUGACAACACAUAAGAAGUGUUGUUUGAUUUGAAAUGACGUAAUAUUGCUUCCAGAAUAAAUUAAGAAAAUUCUAGACA